RNAcentral lists this ribosomal RNA (26 nucleotides) under Gymnostellatospora japonica. Its description in RNAcentral is "partial 28S ribosomal RNA". Lineage: Eukaryota; Fungi; Ascomycota; Leotiomycetes; Thelebolales; Pseudeurotiaceae. RNAcentral also lists the same sequence under 2 other names. The record is from RNAcentral.
UUUUUCAGGUUGACCUCGGAUCAGGU